This 497-nucleotide ribosomal RNA is filed under the name uncultured bacterium. RNAcentral's name for it is "partial 16S ribosomal RNA". It matches the Rfam family "Bacterial small subunit ribosomal RNA", at positions 28 to 507 of the family's 1533-position model. The record is from RNAcentral.
GAUGAACGCUGGCGGCGUGCCUAAUACAUGCAAGUCGAGCGAACAGACGAGGAGCUUGCUCCUCUGACGUUAGCGGCGGACGGGUGAGUAACACGUGGAUAACCUACCUAUAAGACUGGGAUAACUUCGGGAAACCGGAGCUAAUACCGGAUAAUAUAUUGAACCGCAUGGUUCAAUAGUGAAAGACGGUUUUGCUGUCACUUAUAGAUGGAUCCGCGCCGCAUUAGCUAGUUGGUAAGGUAACGGCUUACCAAGGCAACGAUGCGUAGCCGACCUGAGAGAGUGAUCGGCCACACGGGAACUGAGACACGGUCCAGACUCCUACGGGAGGCAGCAGUAGGGAAUCUGCCGCAGUGGGCGAAAGCUUGACGGAGCAACGCCGCGUGAGUGAUGAAGGUCUUCGGAUCGUAAAACUCUGUUAUUAGGGAAGAACAAAUGUGUAAGUAACUAUGCACGUCUUGACGGUACCUAGUCAGAAAGCCACGGCUAACUACGUG